Molecule: long non-coding RNA, 228 nt
Organism: Mizuhopecten yessoensis (Yesso scallop)
Lineage: Eukaryota; Metazoa; Mollusca; Bivalvia; Pectinida; Pectinidae
Exons: 3
Source: RefSeq, a predicted model, not a curated record
GUCGGUCCCUAGCAUCGAUCUAUCCAGCAUGGACGAUAUCCACUUAGAAUUUGACAACAAGAUGAACGAAAGACAAAGCCGAGUCAGUGGUCUCGACAAAGAAUGAUAAUCGCCUCUUUGGUCGUAGCUUUGACAGUCAUUUCCCUUGCUGCAAUAGAUACAGCUUCAACUACUUUACCACAAACUACGACAGAAUGGGAACCAGUGCCAAGUAAUUCAGUUAAGUGC